AGGCAUAAGCCACCAUGCCUGGCCAGGAAUUCUUGCUUUUUAGGGUUUCGCUUAAGUUUUAGGUUAUAAGGAUAAGAAUUCUAGUUAACACAUAAUUCAGUAGGCAAAAUGUGCUGGAAAAGAUUAUGUUAGUAGUGAGAAAAAGAAUAACUUUGUAUAAUUCAGAAGUUAUCAAAUUCUAACUAACUUUUUGGAUUUUAGGCUUCUAGACAGUUUAAGCAUGUUGAAUAUACUUUCAUAAAUAGAAUUUGAGUUCUAUUUCUCUCUCUGCCUAAUUUCUUCAAAAUUUGUAAACUAUUUGUGAAUAUUCUUAAUUCAUGGCAAUAUGUUUGUCUGCAUACAGUUGAGCAGGGUCCCUAGGGCCACUCAGGGAGAAAGAACCCAGAAACCAGACAUGCUUGCAAAAGAAUAUUUCUUACCAGUUAGUCUCUGGUCUCUUUCGCUCUGUGCAAACUGGUUAAAUGAAAGGUAAAAGUCACCAUUUGUCCCUUCUGUAAAGUUUUAAAUUGGUUUAAUAAUAAUAUAAGAGCUUAAAUCAAAUAUUUUGUCAGAAAAGUGAAAAAUGUAAUGCUUUUUAUUUAGUUCAUGUGACUUGAGUAAUCUUUAGGAAAUAAACAGUUUUAAAGAUUAUUGGUAAAAUACAGUUGUCUUGAAAAUGUAAACAUGUGGUCUAAGUUAUGUUCAAAUAUUAGGUUUGCUAAAUGCUUUAAGGUCAUAAACUGCUUCUUUGGUGUUUGAAAUUUGUUUAACUUGCCUGCUUUCCAGCUAGGUAAGGCCUGAGGACAGCCCACUCGGGAUGGCCCUGGGGGCUUCUGAGAUGAAAGAGGCCUUCUUGGGAGGCUCCCAGCAUUCCCUGUGCUCUUGCCUCUUCUCCCCUCUGCCUGCCUGAAGAUCCCCCUGAGUCCCUGCCACCCCCUCUCCAUGGGGAGUUGGCCAUGCCCCUAACUAUGCUGGAAACAUUCUAAUCUUAUCAGAACACAACUUAGCAGGUUUUACAUUACAAUUAAGAUUGCUAGGAGUCACCAUUAACAUGUAAUUAAGAUUACUAGAAACAGUUUUAUAUGCAAGAUGUGUAAGAAUAGUAAAAUGUGUUUUUUUUUUUUUUUUGGUAAAAGGUUAUAAAGGGUUUUUGCUUAAAAUUUCUGAGUCAUCAUUUUGGCAAAAUAAGUAAUUUAGGGCAAUCUGGAAUUCCAAAAUCAAACUUCAGUUUCAAAAUUGUCUUUUCUAAUGCCUGGCUUUUUGGAUGGAUCAGAUGGCCCCUGAAAACAUCCAGAAAAGAGGUAAAAAAAGCUUUCAAUUGUUUGGAUCUUCUGAGAACAUCAGAAGAUCUUGCCAUCUGCACUACAACAAAACUUUGGGACCUUGAACUUUGGGUACAUAAUCUCACAACUGAGAAAGUUCCCUCCACACUCUUGGAAUUGUACACUCAUUGGAGCCCUUAAGGUAAAACUAACCAGGGAAAUUUCUCCCAAAAUGAAGAUGGCAUCCUUGAUGUGAAUAUCUUUUCCCAAGUUAACAGAUUAACACUUCUACUGUCAUGAAAUUCUUAUCUUUUAUUAUUUUUUCUUGCUUAUGCCUCUCUGAACAAUAGAAAUGGAAAAGGGAUCUGUUAUGUGCACUUAUGGGGUGUACUUUUGUUUAAGGAAUUUGCAGCCAGCCUUAUAAGUGGAUAAACUUAUACUUUGUUAGAUAAAGGACAAAGGCCCAAUGUACUUAAGAAACUUUAAUGGUACAUAUGUUGCCUAAUAAUCAUUCAAAAACAAACAAACAAACAAACAAACAAUGAUUCACUCCUCUUAAUCCACAUCAUGGGUUAAAGAGAACAUUGCCAGGAGGCCUUCACUCUUUUAGAAGGGCAUCAUUUGUUAAGUGCUUUUUCCAUGGUUUAGAGUAGAGAAGCAAUGAAUAGAAAUGUACCCCCAUUAUAUGCUCUAUAGCAAAUUUUACUGUAAGGCCUACAGUUAAACAACAGACUUUAAAUUCUUUUGUGAAAGUUAUAAUAGAGUUGGAUGAACAGAAAAGUAUCUAUGCUGCAGCUGGCACUUAUGACCUACGGAAAAAUACAUUAAAUGAAGAUUAUGGAAAUUCAGUGAAGGAGAUGAGACUGCUAAGUUAAAGACCAUCUAGCUUCAGAUGAUCAUGCAACAAAGGCUCCAGCCAAUUCCAGGUAAAGACACCACCCCUGGCCAUCAAGGAGAUACCCUGCCUCCACUAGAGAGAGCAGAGUGAGAGUUCUGUGAUCCUCAAUAGGUAGAAACUACACCCCAAGCCAGCAUGAAGCAGCUACAGAAGAAAGACCAGCUGUCCCUCUGCCUCCCAUAAAGAUUUAUGAAGAUCACAUCUCUCAGUGGGGAAAUGAGUCAAGAAAAUAAUGUCUGGAGGCAGGGAACAUAAGGCCAAUUAACACUUCAGCUAUGACAGGAAAUAUCCUUUCCAUAGGGUGUACACUAAGUGACUUCGUAACCUUACUUUGUCCUCUUCAUUUACAUAGGGCAUACAGCAAGUAACCAAUGGAAACUGCUAGAGUGUAUUUAAACUCCCACAAAUUCUGUAAUGGGGCCCUAUGCUCAUGCCCAUUACCACACUGUGAAGUGUACUUUCAUUUCGAAUAAAUAUCUCCUUUUGCUACUUUAUUCUUUCCUUGCAUUUUUUUCUGCAUUUUGUCCAAUUCUUUGUUCAAGAAGCCAAGAACCUGGACACCCUCUUUCGGUAACACAAUCAACUCCUAAGUACCAACCUCCUAAUAUCAUCAUCUUGGAGGUUAAAAUGUGGUAUAUACAUUUUGUGAGAAUGUAAAGAUUUCUUUAUCCAGUCUGGUGUUGACAGGCAUUUAAUUUGAUUCCAUGACUAUGCUAUUGUGAACAGUGUUACAAUGAACAUAUGCAUGCACGUGUCUUUAUGAUAGAAUGAUUUAUAUUCUUUGA
RNAcentral lists this long non-coding RNA (2924 nucleotides) under Homo sapiens (human). Its description in RNAcentral is "HSALNT0355986". Lineage: Eukaryota; Metazoa; Chordata; Mammalia; Primates; Hominidae. The record is from RNAcentral.